UAACGCGAAGAACCUUACCUGGUCUUGACAUAGUGAGAAUCCUGCAGAGAUGCGGGAGUGCCUUCGGGAAUUCACAUACAGGUGCUGCAUGGCUGUCGUCAGCUCGUGUCGUGAGAUGUUGGGUUAAGUCCCGCAACGAGCGCAACCCUUUUCCUUAUUUGCCAGCGGGUUAAGCCGGGAACUUUAAGGAUACUGCCAGUGACAAACUGGAGGAAGGCGGGGACGACGUCAAGUCAUCAUGGCCCUUACGACCAGGGCUACACACGUGCUACAAUGGUAGGUACAGAGGGUUGCUACACAGCGAUGUGAUGCUAAUCUCAAAAAGCCUAUCGUAGUCCGGAUUGGAGUCUGCAACUCGACUCCAUGAAGUCGGAAUCGCUAGUAAUCGUGGAUCAGCACGCCACGGUGAAUA
Molecule: ribosomal RNA, 412 nt
Filed under: uncultured bacterium
Lineage: Bacteria
Description: bacterial SSU rRNA
Rfam family: Bacterial small subunit ribosomal RNA
Source: RNAcentral